GGAGUUAUUAAAAAUUUUAAUUUUUAACUUCACGAAAGUAGUUGAGCUAAAUAAUUAUAAUUAUUAGAUUUAUUAUAUGUAACAUAAUAAAAAUAAAUAAUUAUUUAGGGGUGAUAGGCUUUACAAAACUAUAGAUAUCUUGAUUCUUUUUAAAAACAUUUAGUGUAAUUUCAACUAAAAAAUGAUAAGGUUUUUUAGUAGCAUAAAUAUAUUUUAUAAUUUAAAUCUUAACCUAAUCGUUAGAUUUAAAAUGUAAAUAAUUAUUUAUUUAUACAAAUAUUAUGGAUAGUAGAAAGAAAUAAUUUAACUAUUUAAUAAUUUAUAAUGUAACUAUAAGUAAUAUAACUAAAUAUGAAAAAUGAACUCGGCAAAUUAGCCUUUCAACUGUUUACCAAAAACAUAGCUAUGUGUAAUUAUUCAUAGUAAUUUCUGCUCAAUGAAAUUUAAAUAGCCGCAGUACCCUGACUGUGCAAAGGUAGCGAAAUAAUUUGGCUUAUAAUUGAAGCCCUGUAUGAAUGAAAAUUUGGAGGGCGUCUUUAUUUUUUAUAGGUUUUGAAAUUACUUAUUAAGUGCAAAUUCUUAUAUUUAAAUGAUAGACGAGAAGACCCUAGAAAUUUUUAUAAAUUGUAUAUAAUUUUUUUUGUUGGGGCAACAAGGUAACACAAAAUUUACCUUAGAUAACAAGAACAUUUAUGUGAUAGAAUAAAUUACUCUAGGGAUAACAGCGUAAUUUAUGAAAGUUUGCGACCUCGAUGUUGGACUAGGGAACCAUUGCUUAGAAGGCAUAGUGUAAAGCUCUGUUCGAGCUC
RNAcentral lists this ribosomal RNA (809 nucleotides) under Exiligada floraevallis. RNAcentral describes it as "partial 16S ribosomal RNA". Lineage: Eukaryota; Metazoa; Mollusca; Gastropoda; Stylommatophora; Camaenidae. The record is from RNAcentral.